This 484-nucleotide ribosomal RNA is filed under the name uncultured bacterium. RNAcentral describes it as "partial 16S ribosomal RNA". It matches the Rfam family "Bacterial small subunit ribosomal RNA", at positions 28 to 507 of the family's 1533-position model. The record is from RNAcentral.
AUUGAACGCUGGCGGCAUGCUUUACACAUGCAGGUCGAACGGCAGCGCGGGAUUCGGCCUGGCGGCGAGUGGGGAACGGGUGAGUAAUGCAUCGGAACGUGCCCAGUAGUGGGGGAUGGCCCGGCUAAGGCCGGAUUAAUCCCGCAUACGACCUUAUGGUGAAAGCGGGGGACCGAAAGGCCUCGCGCUAUUGGAGCGGACGAUGUCGGAUUAGCUAGUUGGUUGGGUAAAGGCUUACCAAGGCGACGAUCCGUAGCUGGUCUGAGAGGACGACCAGCCACACUGGGACUGAGACACGGCCCAGACUCCUACGGGAGGCAGCAGUGGGGAAUUUUGGACAAUGGGGGCAAGCCUGACGCAGCCAUGCCGCGUGCGGGAAGAAGGUCUUCGGGUUGUAAACCGCUUUUGUUCGGGAAGAAAUCCUCUGGGCUAAUACCCCGGGGGGAUGACGGUACCGGAAGAAUAAGCACCGGCUAACUACGUG